ACUACACUCCUGCGGGAGGCAGCAGUGGGGAAUAUUGGACAAUGGGCGCAAGCCUGAUCCAGCCAUGCCGCGUGAGUGAUGAAGGCCCUAGGGUUGUAAAGCUCUUUCACCGGUGAAGAUAAUGACGGUAACCGGAGAAGAAGCCCCGGCUAACUUCGUGCCAGCAGCCGCGGUAAUACGAAGGGGGCUAGCGUUGUUCGGAUUUACUGGGCGUAAAGCGCACGUAGGCGGACUAUUAAGUCAGGGGUGAAAUCCCGGGGCUCAACCCCGGAACUGCCUUUGAUACUGGUAGUCUUGAGUUCGAGAGAGGUGAGUGGAAUUCCGAGUGUAGAGGUGAAAUUCGUAGAUAUUCGGAGGAACACCAGUGGCGAAGGCGGCUCACUGGCUCGAUACUGACGCUGAGGUGCGAAAGCGUGGGGAGCAAACAGGAUUAGAUACCCUAGUAGUCCCAUGAU
RNAcentral lists this ribosomal RNA (455 nucleotides) under uncultured organism. RNAcentral describes it as "partial 16S ribosomal RNA". It matches the Rfam family "Bacterial small subunit ribosomal RNA", at positions 330 to 801 of the family's 1533-position model. The record is from RNAcentral.